CAAUAGCGUAUACUAAUGUUGUUGCAGUUAAAAAGCUCGUAGUUGAACUUCUGGUAGGAGUGUCCCGGCCUUUUUGUUUUUACAAAUUGUAUGCUGUGUGACAUCUCUGGCCAUCCUUCUUCUUUGUUUAAAGAAGAUCUUUCACUGUAAAAAAAUUAGGGUGUUCAAAGCAAAAGUUUCUUUGGAAUAUAUUAGUAUGGGAUGAUAAGAUAGGCUCUAGAUGCUAUUUUGUUGGUUUGCACAUUUAGAGAAUGAUUAACAGGGACAGUUGGGGGUAUUCGUAUUUACAUGUCAGAGGUGAAAUUCUUGGAUUUUGGAAAGACGAACUACUGCGAAAGCAUUUACCAAGGAUGUUUNCAUUAA
This 363-nucleotide ribosomal RNA is filed under the name uncultured eukaryote. RNAcentral's name for it is "partial 18S ribosomal RNA". It matches the Rfam family "Eukaryotic small subunit ribosomal RNA", at positions 592 to 976 of the family's 1831-position model. The record is from RNAcentral.